This 489-nucleotide ribosomal RNA is filed under the name uncultured bacterium. RNAcentral's name for it is "partial 16S ribosomal RNA". It matches the Rfam family "Bacterial small subunit ribosomal RNA", at positions 30 to 506 of the family's 1533-position model. The record is from RNAcentral.
AUUGAACGCUGGCGGCAGGCCUAACACAUGCAAGUCGAACGGUAACAGGAAGAAGCUUGCUUCUUUGCUGACGAGUGGCGGACGGGUGAGUAAUGUCUGGGAAACUGCCUGAUGGAGGGGGAUAACUACUGGAAACGGUAGCUAAUACCGCAUAACGUCGCAAGACCAAAGAGGGGGACCUUCGGGCCUCUUGCCAUCGGAUGUGCCCAGAUGGGAUUAGCUAGUAGGUGGGGUAACGGCUCACCUAGGCGACGAUCCCUAGCUGGUCUGAGAGGAUGACAGGCAACCCUGGAACUGGAACACGGUCCAGACCCCUACGGAAGGCAGCGGUGGGGAAUAUUGCACAAUGGGCGCAAGCCUGAUGAAGCCAUGCGGCGUGUAUGAAGAAGGCCUUCGGGUUGUAAAGUACUUUCAGCGGGGAGGAAGGGAGUAAGGUUAAUACCUUUGCUCAUUGACGUUACCCGCAGAAGAAGCACCGGCUAACUCCGU